This 460-nucleotide ribosomal RNA is filed under the name uncultured bacterium. RNAcentral's name for it is "partial 16S ribosomal RNA". It matches the Rfam family "Bacterial small subunit ribosomal RNA", at positions 339 to 795 of the family's 1533-position model. The record is from RNAcentral.
CUACGGGGCGCUGCAGUGAGGAAUACUGCGCAAUGGACGAAAGCCUGACGCAGCCAUGCCGCGUGCAGGAUGACGGCGCUAUGCGUUGUAAACUGCUUUUAUAGGCCAAGAAACCUUCGGACGUGUCCGAAGCUGACGGUAGCAUAUGAAUAAGCACCGGCUAACUCCGUGCCAGCAGCCGCGGUAAUAGCGGAGGGUGCAAGCGUUAUCCGGAUUUAUUGGGUUUAAAGGGUCCGUAGGCGGAUCAUUAAGUCAGUGGUGAAAGCCGGCAGCUCAACUGUCGAACUGCCAUUGAUACUGGUGAUCUUGAAUACGGUUGAAGUUGGCGGAAUAGGUCAUGUAGCGGUGAAAUGCUUAGAUAUGACCUAGAACACCGAUUGCGAAGGCAGCCAACUAAGCCGUUAUUGACGCUGAGGGACGAAAGCGUGGGGAGCGAACAGGAUUAGAUACCCGUGUAGUC